UACGUAGGGACCGAGCGUUGUCCGGAAUCAUUGGGCGUAAAGAGCGUGUAGGCGGCCUUUUAAGUCCUGCGUGAAAUCCUGCGGCUCAACCGCAGACGGUCGUGGGAAACUGGAAGGCUAGAGUUCGGUAGGGGAGUCCGGAAUUCCUGGUGUAGCGGUGAAAUGCGCAGAUAUCAGGAGGAACACCGGUGGCGAAGGCGGGACUCUGGGCCGAUACUGACGCUGAGGAGCGAAAGCGUGGGGAGCAAACAGG
This 253-nucleotide ribosomal RNA is filed under the name uncultured bacterium. RNAcentral's name for it is "partial 16S ribosomal RNA". It matches the Rfam family "Bacterial small subunit ribosomal RNA", at positions 524 to 776 of the family's 1533-position model. The record is from RNAcentral.